RNAcentral lists this ribosomal RNA (120 nucleotides) under Lupinus angustifolius (narrow-leaved blue lupine). The record is from RNAcentral. Lineage: Eukaryota; Viridiplantae; Streptophyta; Magnoliopsida; Fabales; Fabaceae.
AUGUGCGAUCAUACCAGCACUAAUGCACCGGAUCCCAUCAUAACUCUGCUGGUAAGCGUGCUUGGGAGAGAGUUGUACUAGGAUGGGUGACCUCCGAGGAAUAGGGUGGAAUUUCUUGUG